Molecule: transfer RNA, 63 nt
Filed under: Myrmecophilus kubotai
Lineage: Eukaryota; Metazoa; Arthropoda; Insecta; Orthoptera; Myrmecophilidae
Description: tRNA-Cys
Source: RNAcentral
UGUCUUGUAUUCAAUUAUGAUUUUAGACUGCAAUUCUAAAGGUGUGGUUUUUCACUAAGGCUU